GAUGAACGCUGGCGGCGUGCCUAAUACAUGCAAGUAGAACGCUGAAGGAGGAGCUUGCUCUUCUGGAUGAGUUGCGAACGGGUGAGUAACGCGUAGGUAACCUGCCUGGUAGCGGGGGAUAACUAUUGGAAACGAUAGCUAAUACCGCAUGACAACAGUUAUUGCAUGAUAACUGUUUAAAAGGGGCAACUGCUCCACUACCAGAUGGACCUGCGUUGUAUUAGCUAGUUGGUGAGGUAACGGCUCACCAAGGCGACGAUACAUAGCCGACCUGAGAGGGUGAACGGCCACACUGGGACUGAGACACGGCCCAGACUCCUACGGGAGGCAGCAGUAGGGAAUCUUCGGCAAUGGACGGAAGUCUGACCGAGCAACGCCGCGUGAGUGAAGGAGGUUUUCGGAUCGUAAAGCUCUGUUGUAAGAGAAGAACGAGUGUGAGAGUGGAAAGUUCACACUGUGACGGUAUCUAACCAGAAAGGGACGGCUAACUACGUG
This 495-nucleotide ribosomal RNA is filed under the name uncultured bacterium. RNAcentral describes it as "partial 16S ribosomal RNA". It matches the Rfam family "Bacterial small subunit ribosomal RNA", at positions 28 to 507 of the family's 1533-position model. The record is from RNAcentral.